AGCUUGCUCCUUGGAUCAGUGGCGAACGGGUGAGUAACACGUGAGUAACCUGCCCCAAACUCUGGGAUAAGCACUGGAAACGGUGUCUAAUACCGGAUACGAGCUUCAGCCGCAUGGCUAGGAGUUGGAAAGAAUUUCGGUUUGGGAUGGACUCGCGGCCUAUCAGCUAGUUGGUGAGGUAAUGGCUCACCAAGGCGACGACGGGUAGCCGGCCUGAGAGGGUGACCGGCCACACUGGGACUGAGACACGGCCCAGACUCCUACGGGAGGCAGCAGUGGGGAAUAUUGCACAAUGGGCGCAAGCCUGAUGCAGCAACGCCGCGUGAGGGACGACGGCCUUCGGGUUGUAAACCUCUUUUAGUAGGGAAGAAGCGAAAGUGACGGUACCUGCAGAAAAAGCACCGGCUAACUACGUGCCAGCAGCCGCGGUAAUACGUAGGGUGCAAGCGUUGUCCGGAAUUAUUGGGCGUAAAGAGCUCGUAGGCGGUUUGUCGCGUCUGCUGUGAAAACCCGAGGCUCAACCUCGGGCCUGCAGUGGGUACGGGCAGACUAGAGUGCGGUAGGGGAGAUUGGAAUUCCUGGUGUAGCGGUGGAAUGCGCAGAUAUCAGGAGGAACACCAAUGGCGAAGGCAGAUCUCUGGGCCGUAACUGACGCUGAGGAGCGAAAGCAUGGGGAGCGAACAGGAUUAGAUACCCUGGUAGUCCAUGCCGUAAACGUUGGGAACUAGAUGUGGGGACCAUUCCACGGUCUCCGUGUCGCAGCUAACGCAU
RNAcentral lists this ribosomal RNA (771 nucleotides) under Cryobacterium arcticum. RNAcentral's name for it is "bacterial SSU rRNA". It matches the Rfam family "Bacterial small subunit ribosomal RNA", at positions 77 to 860 of the family's 1533-position model. The record is from RNAcentral. Lineage: Bacteria; Bacillati; Actinomycetota; Actinomycetes; Micrococcales; Microbacteriaceae.